RNAcentral lists this ribosomal RNA (468 nucleotides) under uncultured bacterium. Its description in RNAcentral is "partial 16S ribosomal RNA". It matches the Rfam family "Bacterial small subunit ribosomal RNA", at positions 28 to 507 of the family's 1533-position model. The record is from RNAcentral.
GACGAACGCUGGCGGCGUGCUUAACACAUGCAAGUCGAACGGAAAGGCCCUGCUUUUGUGGGGUGCUCGAGUGGCGAACGGGUGAGUAACACGUGAGUAACCUGCCCUUGACUUUGGGAUAACUUCAGGAAACUGGGGCUAAUACCGGAUAGGAGCUCCUGCUGCAUGGUGGGGGUUGGAAAGUUUCGGCGGUUGGGGAUGGACUCGCGGCUUAUCAGCUUGUUGGUGGGGUAGUGGCUUACCAAGGCUUUGACGGGUAGCCGGCCUGAGAGGGUGACCGGCCACAUUGGGAAUGAGAUACGGCCCAGACUCCUACGGGAGGCAGCAGUGGGGAAUAUUGCACAAUGGGCGGAAGCCUGAUGCAGCAACGCCGCGUGCGGGAUGACGGCCUUCGGGUUGUAAACCGCUUUCGCCUGUGGCGAAGCGUGAGUGACGGUAAUGGGUAAAGAAGCACCGGCUAACUACGUG